UUGGAGGGCAAGUCUGGUGCCAGCAGCCGCGGUAAUUCCAGCUCCGAUAGCGUAUAUUAAAGUUGUUGCAGUUAAAAGCUCGUAGUUGAAUUUCGGGAUCAAUUUGCUGGUCGUGCCUCUGGUACGUACUGGUAUUAUUGGUUUCUCCCUUCUGACGAACCAUGAUGUCAUUAAUUUGAUGUCGUGGAGAAUCAGGACUGAUACUUUGAAAAAAUUAGAGUGUUUAAAGCAGGCAUUAGCUUGAAUACAUUAGCAUGGAAUAAUGAAAUAGGACGUUUGAUCCUAUUUUGUUGGUUUCUAGGAUUGACGUAAUGAUUAAUAGGGAUAGUUGGGGGCAUUAGUAUUCAAUUGUCAGAGGUGAAAUUCUUGGAUUUAUUGAAGACUAACUACUGCGAAAGCAUUUGCCAAGGAUGUUUUCAUUAAUCAAGAACGAAAGUUAGGGGAUCGAAGACGAUCAGAUACCGUCGUAGUCUUAACCAUAAACUAUGCCGACUAGGGAUCGGAUGAUGUUAAUUUUUUAAUGACUCAUUCGGCGCCUUACGGGAAACCAAAGUGUUUGGGUUC
RNAcentral lists this ribosomal RNA (564 nucleotides) under uncultured Glomeromycotina. Its description in RNAcentral is "SSU rRNA". It matches the Rfam family "Eukaryotic small subunit ribosomal RNA", at positions 548 to 1114 of the family's 1831-position model. The record is from RNAcentral. Lineage: Eukaryota; Fungi; Glomeromycota.